This is a non-coding RNA of Pelobates cultripes (western spadefoot toad), 310 nucleotides long. The record is from the annotation of a GenBank genome assembly. NCBI's taxonomy places the organism in Eukaryota, Metazoa, Chordata, Amphibia, Anura, Pelobatidae.
UAUUAGCUCAGUAGGCAGUUAGUACAACAUUCAUGGGUUCAGUAGAGGAGUGAAUGGUCACUCAUGAAAAACAAAUAAGAGUAGGAUUAAAUCGAAUGAAGCUUGAGAUUGACUGUCGGAGGCGAUUGCAUGAUGAUGUAUAAAGCACACGGACACACGCAUCAUGUGGCAGGGAGGCAGAGACUUGGUGGAGAGGAGAUGGAAAGUGGCUAAAGCGCACCCGGUAGUGAAUGGCAAAAGCAGCCAAACAGACCUGUGAGAGAGUGGGAAGAUGAAGGGGACGGUACAUUUGUUUGGAGGUGGAAGACAG